RNAcentral lists this long non-coding RNA (407 nucleotides) under Anas platyrhynchos platyrhynchos (common mallard). RNAcentral's name for it is "lncRNA (ENSAPLG00000025543.1)". The record is from RNAcentral. Lineage: Eukaryota; Metazoa; Chordata; Aves; Anseriformes; Anatidae.
UUCCCAUUACCAGAAUAUGACCAGGGUGAGACUGUGAAAUACAAAUGUGCAAGUUUCUACAUCCUGGAAGGACCUGAGCAAAUCACCUGCAUUGAUGGGCAGUGGACAAAUCCCCCAGUUUGCUUGGCGGCUUGUACGGCCUCUGAAGAAGAUAUGGACAGAAACAAUAUUGAGCUGAGAUGGAGAGAAGAAAGAAAACUGUACUCAACAUCAGGCGAUUUUAUUGAAUUUGAUUGUAAAAUAGGACAUGUGCAGGACCCAGCAUCUUCCCGCUUCAGAGUGCAGUGCAUGGACGGGACAUUAGAAUACCCACGGUGCAAGCCAGGAAGGAACUGUAGUUUGAGUGAGGUGGCUAUGAAGAGGAACAAUAUAAAACUAAAACACUGGAGAAGAUCUAACAUAUAUCG